UUUUGAUUCCAGAUGUGUUCCCAAAUGC
RNAcentral lists this non-coding RNA (28 nucleotides) under Mus musculus (house mouse). RNAcentral also lists the same sequence under 1 other name. Lineage: Eukaryota; Metazoa; Chordata; Mammalia; Rodentia; Muridae. The record is from RNAcentral.